RNAcentral lists this ribosomal RNA (465 nucleotides) under uncultured bacterium. RNAcentral describes it as "partial 16S ribosomal RNA". It matches the Rfam family "Bacterial small subunit ribosomal RNA", at positions 338 to 795 of the family's 1533-position model. The record is from RNAcentral.
CCUACGGGAGGCAGCAGUGGGGAAUAUUGCGCAAUGGGCGAAAGCCUGACGCAGCGACGCCGCGUGAGGGAUGAAGGUCUUCGGAUUGGAAACCUCUGUCAGCAGGGAAGAACGGUGAGUGUGCUAAUCAGCAGUGAAUUGACGGUACCUGCAAAGGAAGCACCGGCUAACUCCGUCCGAGCAGCCGCGGUAAUACGGAGGGUGCGAGCGUUAUGCGGAAUUACUGGGCGUAAAGCGCUCGUAGGCGGUAUGUCAAGUCAAGGGUGAAAUCCCCGGGCUCAACGUGGGAACUGCCUUUGAAACUGGCAAACUGGAGUGUGUUAGAGGAUAGUGGAAUUCCUGGUGUAGGAGUGAAAUCCGUAGAUAUCUGGAGGAACACCAGUGGCGAAGGUGACUAUCUGGCCCAUAACUGACGCUGAGGAGCGAAAGCGUGGGUAGCAAACAGGAUUAGAUACCCUUGUAGUC